RNAcentral lists this ribosomal RNA (157 nucleotides) under uncultured bacterium. Its description in RNAcentral is "partial 16S ribosomal RNA". The record is from RNAcentral.
CACGGAGUUAGCCGGAGCUUACAAACAGUACCGUCAUCAUAAGAGAUGUUAGCUCUUACUUAUUCUUCCCGUUCUUGCGAAGUUUACAUCCCGAAGGAUUUCAUCCUUCACGCGGCGUUGCUGGGUCAGGCUUUCGCCCAUUGCCCAAAAUUCCCGA